GUGGGGAAUCUUGCGCAAUGGGCGAAAGCCUGACGCAGCCAUGCCGCGUGAAUGAUGAAGGUCUUAGGAUUGUAAAAUUCUUUCACCGGGGACGAUAAUGACGGUACCCGGAGAAGAAGCCCCGGCUAACUUCGUGCCAGCAGCCGCGGUAAUACGAAGGGGGCUAGCGUUGCUCGGAAUUACUGGGCGUAAAGGGAGCGUAGGCGGAUAGUUUAGUCAGAGGUGAAAGCCCAGGGCUCAACCUUGGAAUUGCCUUUGAUACUGGCUAUCUUGAGUAUGGAAGAGGUAUGUGGAACUCCGAGUGUAGAGGUGAAAUUCGUAGAUAUUCGGAAGAACACCAGUGGCGAAGGCGACAUACUGGUCCAUUACUGACGCUGAGGCUCGAAAGCGUGGGGAGCAAACAGGAUUAGAAACCCCAGUAGUCC
RNAcentral lists this ribosomal RNA (425 nucleotides) under uncultured bacterium. Its description in RNAcentral is "partial 16S ribosomal RNA". It matches the Rfam family "Bacterial small subunit ribosomal RNA", at positions 354 to 796 of the family's 1533-position model. The record is from RNAcentral.